CUACGGAGGAUGCGAGCGUUAUCCGGAUUUAUUAGGUUUAAAGGGUGUGUAGGCGGUAUUUUAAGUCAGUGGUGAAAUCUCGGAGCUUAACUUCGAAACUGCCAUUGAUACUGGAAUACUUGAGUAUAGUUGAGGUAGGCGGAAUAUGUAAUGUAGCGGUGAAAUGCAUAGAUAUUACAUAGAACACCGAUUGCGAAGGCAGCUUACUAAACUAUUACUGUCGCUGAUGCACGAAAGCGUGGGGAGCGAACAGGAGUAGAAACCCCAGUAGUCC
RNAcentral lists this ribosomal RNA (274 nucleotides) under uncultured bacterium. RNAcentral's name for it is "partial 16S ribosomal RNA". It matches the Rfam family "Bacterial small subunit ribosomal RNA", at positions 523 to 796 of the family's 1533-position model. The record is from RNAcentral.